CCUACGGGUGGCAGCAGUGGGGAAUAUUGGGCAAUGGGCGCAAGCCUGACCCAGCAACGCCGCGUGAAGGAAGAAGGCUUUCGGGUUGUAAACUUCUUUUGUCAGGGAAGAGUAGAAGACGGUACCUGACGAAUAAGCCACGGCUAACUACGUGCCAGCAGCCGCGGUAAUACGUAGGUGGCAAGCGUUGUCCGGAUUUACUGGGUGUAAAGGGCGUGUAGCCGGGUUGACAAGUCAGAUGUGAAAUCCUGCGGCGUAACCGCAGAACUGCAUUUGAAACUGUUGUUCUUGAGUACUGUAGAGGCAGGCGGAAUUCCUAGUGUAGCGGUGAAAUGCGUAGAUAUUAGGAGGAACACCAGUGGCGAAGGCGGUCUGCUGGACAGCAACUGACGGUGAGGCGCGAAAGCGUGGGGAGCAAACAGGAUUAGAUACCCGAGUAGUC
This 442-nucleotide ribosomal RNA is filed under the name uncultured bacterium. RNAcentral's name for it is "partial 16S ribosomal RNA". It matches the Rfam family "Bacterial small subunit ribosomal RNA", at positions 338 to 795 of the family's 1533-position model. The record is from RNAcentral.